This 489-nucleotide ribosomal RNA is filed under the name uncultured bacterium. RNAcentral's name for it is "partial 16S ribosomal RNA". It matches the Rfam family "Bacterial small subunit ribosomal RNA", at positions 30 to 506 of the family's 1533-position model. The record is from RNAcentral.
AUUGAACGCUGGCGGCAGGCCUAACACAUGCAAGUCGAACGGUAACAGGAAGAAGCUUGCUUCUUUGCUGACGAGUGGCGGACGGGUGAGUAAUGUCUGGGAAACUGCCUGAUGGAGGGGGAUAACUACUGGAAACGGUAGCUAAUACCGCAUAACGUCGCAAGACCAAAGAGGGGGACCUUCGGGCCUCUUGCCAUCGGAUGUGCCCAGAUGGGAUUAGCUAGUAGGUGGGGUAACGGCUCACCUAGGCGACGAUCCCUAGCUGGUCUGAGAGGAUGACCAGCCACACUGGAACUGAGACACGGUCCAGACUCCUACGGGAGGCAGCAGUGGGGAAUAUUGCACAAUGGGCGCAAGCCUGAUGCAGCCAUGCCGCGUGUAUGAAGAAGGCCUGCGGGUUGUAAAGUACUUUCAGCGGGGAGGAAGGGAGUAAAGUUAAUACCUUUGCUCAUGGACGUUACCCGCAGAAGAAGCACCGGCGAACUCCGU